UACGAAGGGUGCAAGCGUUACUCGGAAUUACUGGGCGUAAAGCGUGCGUAGGUGGUUUGUUAAGUCUGUUGUGAAAGCCCCGGGCUCAACCUGGGAAUGGCAAUGGAUACUGGCAAGCUAGAGUGCGGUAGAGGGUAGUGGAAUUCCCGGUGUAGCGGUGAAAUGCGUAGAGAUCGGGAGGAACAUCAGUGGCGAAAGCGACUUCCUGGACCAGUACCGACGUUCAGGCACGAAAGCGUGGGGAGCAAACGGG
RNAcentral lists this ribosomal RNA (253 nucleotides) under uncultured bacterium. Its description in RNAcentral is "partial 16S ribosomal RNA". It matches the Rfam family "Bacterial small subunit ribosomal RNA", at positions 524 to 776 of the family's 1533-position model. The record is from RNAcentral.